RNAcentral lists this ribosomal RNA (858 nucleotides) under Escherichia coli. RNAcentral's name for it is "partial 23S ribosomal RNA". It matches the Rfam family "Bacterial large subunit ribosomal RNA", at positions 329 to 1191 of the family's 2925-position model. Lineage: Bacteria; Pseudomonadati; Pseudomonadota; Gammaproteobacteria; Enterobacterales; Enterobacteriaceae. The record is from RNAcentral.
UUAGUGGAAGCGUCUGGAAAGGCGCGCGAUACAGGGUGACAGCCCCGUACACAAAAAUGCACAUGCUGUGAGCUCGAUGAGUAGGGCGGGACACGUGGUAUCCUGUCUGAAUAUGGGGGGACCAUCCUCCAAGGCUAAAUACUCCUGACUGACCGAUAGUGAACCAGUACCGUGAGGGAAAGGCGAAAAGAACCCCGGCGAGGGGAGUGAAAAAGAACCUGAAACCGUGUACGUACAAGCAGUGGGAGCACGCUUAGGCGUGUGACUGCGUACCUUUUGUAUAAUGGGUCAGCGACUUAUAUUCUGUAGCAAGGUUAACCGAAUAGGGGAGCCGAAGGGAAACCGAGUCUUAACUGGGCGUUAAGUUGCAGGGUAUAGACCCGAAACCCGGUGAUCUAGCCAUGGGCAGGUUGAAGGUUGGGUAACACUAACUGGAGGACCGAACCGACUAAUGUUGAAAAAUUAGCGGAUGACUUGUGGCUGGGGGUGAAAGGCCAAUCAAACCGGGAGAUAGCUGGUUCUCCCCGAAAGCUAUUUAGGUAGCGCCUCGUGAAUUCAUCUCCGGGGGUAGAGCACUGUUUCGGCAAGGGGGUCAUCCCGACUUACCAACCCGAUGCAAACUGCGAAUACCGGAGAAUGUUAUCACGGGAGACACACGGCGGGUGCUAACGUCCGUCGUGAAGAGGGAAACAACCCAGACCGCCAGCUAAGGUCCCAAAGUCAUGGUUAAGUGGGAAACGAUGUGGGAAGGCCCAGACAGCCAGGAUGUUGGCUUAGAAGCAGCCAUCAUUUAAAGAAAGCGUAAUAGCUCACUGGUCGAGUCGGCCUGCGCGGAAGAUGUAACGGGGCUAAACCAUG